This 247-nucleotide long non-coding RNA is filed under the name Elaeis guineensis (African oil palm). RNAcentral describes it as "long non-coding RNA (EGUI_LNC049171)". The record is from RNAcentral. Lineage: Eukaryota; Viridiplantae; Streptophyta; Magnoliopsida; Arecales; Arecaceae.
CAUUAGAAAAGGCUUCAAGUGGAACUUCAAAUUUUUAUCCAAUUCAAUUAUUAAUGGACUCAUCUAGAUUACACAUAGAAACUGCUGAAGAAGCCUUUGAAAGAGCUCCAUCUCCAUAUAAGAAGAUCUAUGAAAAAUAUUUUGAGAAAAAUGAUGAACUACAAAGAUCAGAAGCCUAUACUUCUAGAGGAUCAGAAGCCUCUACUUCCAGAGCAUCUUUCAGAAAUCAAAAUAUAAAAGAAGAAGC